AGCUUUGCGCAGUGGCAGUAUCGUAGCCAAUGAGGUUUAUCCGAGGCGCGAUUAUUGCUAAUUGAAAUGUAUUUCCAUUUGGUUUCUGGGAAACCAUAGACAUCUGAUAUUUCUCCUAUCAG
This 122-nucleotide small nuclear RNA is filed under the name Mustela putorius furo (domestic ferret). Its description in RNAcentral is "U4 spliceosomal RNA". It matches the Rfam family "U4 spliceosomal RNA". From Rfam's summary of the family: U4 small nuclear RNA (U4 snRNA) is a component of the major U2-dependent spliceosome. The structure of U4 snRNA from yeast and human has been reported. Lineage: Eukaryota; Metazoa; Chordata; Mammalia; Carnivora; Mustelidae. The record is from Rfam by way of RNAcentral.